UCGGCUAAGGAAGUCCUGUGCUCAGUUUUGUAGCAUCAAAACUAGGAUUUCUCUUGUUAC
Homo sapiens (human) is the source of this 60-nucleotide microRNA precursor. The record is from Ensembl. NCBI's taxonomy places the organism in Eukaryota, Metazoa, Chordata, Mammalia, Primates, Hominidae.